UCUCAUCAUUGUGAAUUAUAUCUGAAUUCUGUUAAAGAAUUGCUAGAAAAAGAGCCAAAGCAUGAUGGCCAUGUAUUCUCUAAGAAUUUUUUUA
RNAcentral lists this long non-coding RNA (94 nucleotides) under Mustela putorius furo (domestic ferret). RNAcentral's name for it is "lncRNA (ENSMPUG00000028882.1)". Lineage: Eukaryota; Metazoa; Chordata; Mammalia; Carnivora; Mustelidae. The record is from RNAcentral.